UGCAACCUUAUUAGAAACAUUAGAAAAAUAAAAAAAAAAAUCGCUGACCAAGUACUCCUGCAACCGAAGAAGACGAGUUUCCGCCAUCACCAGUAUCUGCCUUCAAAUCGAACCACAGAUCUUCUUUUCCACUAAAGUGAUCAUAGAGCAGAUCUCUUUGUAGCUCCAAAUGAAACCUUUUUAAAACUUAAUGUGAUAGAUGAUGCAGAAAUAGAUAGCGUUGCAACUCUCCCCAACUCCAUCAAAAAAUUUUAAAAAAUAAAUUAGGCUUAAAAAAAGUAAAACUAAACUGAAAAAUAUGAUAAAAGAAGGAAGACAAACCUCUUAUUCUACGGAUACCUCAUAAUCCACGUCUAAAAGAGUGCU
Molecule: long non-coding RNA, 366 nt
Filed under: Carica papaya (papaya)
Lineage: Eukaryota; Viridiplantae; Streptophyta; Magnoliopsida; Brassicales; Caricaceae
Description: long non-coding RNA (CPAP_LNC016576)
Source: RNAcentral